Molecule: ribosomal RNA, 253 nt
Filed under: uncultured bacterium
Lineage: Bacteria
Description: partial 16S ribosomal RNA
Rfam family: Bacterial small subunit ribosomal RNA
Source: RNAcentral
UACGUAGGGGGCAAGCGUUGUCCGGAUUUAUUGGGCGUAAAGCGCUCGCAGGUGGUUCAUUGCGUCGUGCGUGAAAGACCCCGGCUCAACUGGGGAGGGUCGUGCGAAACGGGUGAACUAGAGGCCAGUAGGGGGAUGCGGAAUUCCGGGUGUAGUGGUGGAAUGCGUAGAGAUCCGGAGGAACACCAGCGGCGAAGGCGGCAUCCUGGACUGGUCCUGACACUCAACUACGAAAGCGUGGGGAGCAAACAGG